RNAcentral lists this long non-coding RNA (901 nucleotides) under Monodelphis domestica (gray short-tailed opossum). Its description in RNAcentral is "lncRNA (ENSMODG00000045845.1)". The record is from RNAcentral. Lineage: Eukaryota; Metazoa; Chordata; Mammalia; Didelphimorphia; Didelphidae.
AGGCAAUUGGGGUUAAGUGACUUGCCCAGAGUCACUCAGAUGGAAAAUAUCUGAGGUCACAUUUGAACCCAGGACAUUCUAACUCCAGACCUGGAGCUCUGUCCCCUGUUCUACCUAGCUGAUGUGAACUUUAAAACUACUCCACCCUAAUCAGACCAUACUUUAGGGGAAGAUAAAGUUGUAAUCUCCUGAUUGCAACAAUGGAGAUACUUGGUCUAACAGAAUCAGGAAUGUCUUGUGAACUUUACAUUGCUCCACUCUACUUAGUCUAACAAGGUCAGGAAUGUCUGCACCCAUACUCAAAGAUUAAGUAUCUAGAAGGAUGGCCUUCAACAGACAUGUGCAGAAACAGCUGACAGACCCUGUGCUGUCCUAAGUCAAGCUAAGCUACCAUUGGUACAAAUGAGACGCAAGAAAGUGAUGUAAAACCGUCUAUAUAGGGUGCGUCACUUCUUCUCUUUGCUCUCUUUUCCCAGAGAGGUUGAUCUGGCUGGUGACUUCCUGUGAGCUGUCUGGGCACCAGUUUGAUCCUGGAAUUGGAGCCUGGAGGAGCUCCCUCCUUGAGACAGUCACGUGGGUAAUUUUAGGUUAAGAAGCAUGCUACCUCUCUGAAUCCAGAAAGUGAACGUUUUGGAGAAGAAACCAUGAAGAUGCCUCCACAGACCACAAGCUGCACCAGAAGAUCCAGAGUAAAUUUUGGGAUGUGCUGAUUUGAACUGUGUGGGGUUUAAAUGCAUUUGUUUUGUAUGUAUACUCUUAUGCUGAAGGGGACUGCCCUCUAACUGGCUUUUGUCAAUGCGCCAAUCAAUUAUUGGUUUUGUUCUCUUUUCCUCUUAUCCUCAAAUUAUUGUAAUUUCAUAGCUGUUUACAAGACCAUCGGAGAGACUAGUCUUCCUCAGGC